UAGGCCGGGUGUGUAAGCGCAGCGAUGCGUUGAGCUAACCGGUACUAAUGAACCGUGAGGCUUAACCUUACAACGCCGAAGC
RNAcentral lists this ribosomal RNA (82 nucleotides) under Escherichia coli. RNAcentral's name for it is "partial 23S ribosomal RNA". Lineage: Bacteria; Pseudomonadati; Pseudomonadota; Gammaproteobacteria; Enterobacterales; Enterobacteriaceae. RNAcentral also lists the same sequence under 2 other names. The record is from RNAcentral.